CACGUAGGGCGCAAGCGUUGUCCGGAAUUAUUGGGCGUAAAGAGCUCGUAGGCGGUCUGUUGCGUCCGCUGUGAAAACUCGGGGCUUAACCCCGAGCCUGCAGUGGAUACGGGCAGACUAGAGGUAGGUAGGGGAGAAUGGAAUUCCCGGUGUAGCGGUGAAAUGCGCAGAUAUCGGGAGGAACACCGGUGGCGAAGGCGGCAUCCUGGACCAAUAUUGACGCUGAGGAGCGAAAGCCAGGGGAGCAAACGGG
Molecule: ribosomal RNA, 253 nt
Filed under: uncultured bacterium
Lineage: Bacteria
Description: partial 16S ribosomal RNA
Rfam family: Bacterial small subunit ribosomal RNA
Source: RNAcentral